CUACGGGAUGCUCCAGGUGCGAAACCUUCGCAAUGUUUUAGCGAACGAUGAGGGAAUCCGAAGUGCUGCAGCUUUGCUGCAGCUUUUGUCAAGUUCAAACAGCUUGGCGAAUAAGAGGUGGGCAAGACAGGUGCCAGCCGCCACGGUAAUACCUGCGCCUCGUGUGGUAUCCAGUAUUAUUGGGUCUAAAGCGUCCGUAGCCGGUCUUGUAAGUCCUCGGUGAAAUCCACUAGCAGACUGGUGGGCUUGCCGGGGAUACUGUAAGACUUGAGAUCGGAAGAGGGUAGAGGUACUCCUAGGGGAGGGGUAAAAUCCUAUAAUCCUAGGGGGACCACCGGUGGCGAAGGCGUCUACCUAGAACGGAUCUGACGGUGAGGGACGAAAGCUAGGGGAGCGAUCGGGAUUAGAUACCCCUGUAGUC
Molecule: ribosomal RNA, 421 nt
Filed under: uncultured archaeon
Lineage: Archaea
Description: partial 16S ribosomal RNA
Rfam family: Archaeal small subunit ribosomal RNA
Source: RNAcentral